CCCUGAAGGGAAGAACAGUAUGCAGCCGUGAGGCGGCUGCUGAAAACGCUUCCGAGGAACUUCACUGUCCCCUGGAGGAACCAAACUUCUGCUGAGGAGAGGCAAACCUGGCUUUCUCACUCUCGCCUGGAAGGCUGUUCCCUGUCCCAACUGUCACCUGCUUGAAGUAGCCGUUCUUGGUCACCUGUGCCCAAAGAGGAGCCACUGCCAUCUGCCUUUAACAGAUGCCCAAAUGGAGGCCCAUGGAGGUUCAGUGAUGUGCUCAAGCGAGUUAGCAGUCAAACUAAUAAACCUGUUUGGUCACUAUGCUUUAA
This is a long non-coding RNA of Herpailurus yagouaroundi (jaguarundi), 314 nucleotides long. RefSeq lists it as uncharacterized. The record is from RefSeq and is a predicted model, not a curated record. Lineage: Eukaryota; Metazoa; Chordata; Mammalia; Carnivora; Felidae. The transcript has 2 exons.